UAGGUGCUGAUAAUUCAUCAAACAUAGAGACCAAUGAGGUAGAGCAAGAAAAAUCUGAAGAAACUCCUGUUGAAGAAGAACCAAUGGAAGCAGAAUUUGAAAAAGAAGAAAUUGGGAUCAGUGGUUUGUCAGUGAAGAAAAACGCAUUUUGCAACGAUAGCAACGGUGUAGUUUCACAUGAUAUCGUGACGUAACACUGUAGCACUCUAUGGUAGAACCAGCCCCUGAAAGAGCUCCAAUUGAAUGUCCGUCAAUUAAAAUAACACCGCCUGUUGAAGAGACAAAACCGGCGGUCACUGAAGAACAGCCUAUGGAGACGUCCCAGGCUGUAAAACCUAUAGAUACUUCACCCCAGGGAACGACAACAUUGCCAGACGCUGAUCAAACCGAUGAGCCUAAACCCACUGAUUCCAGGCCUGGCACUAAUACUGUUGAACAAGUGUCAGUAGUUAGUGCGGAACAGGGUAGGAAUCAACGUGUUCUAAUAAUAUCUAUUUUUUGAUUUCUUUAUUUUAUUUUUAGUUACUCUAUUACUUUGGAGAAUUGCAUGUGUUUGUGCAUAUAUGUUGCUGCUUUUAAUGCCUGUAGCUUUUACUACCAGCUAACCUUUUGCAUUUUUUAACAUAACACUAAGAAAGACUUUGACUCCCACCAGGCAUGAAUCAAGCCUGGCCCAAGUCAUGCCAGGGUUGCACAUGUCAGGGUUUUCACACCAAAUGGCUUAUGGAAUGUUUACUGUAGUUCACAGAUUCCAGUGCUGUAUUAUUAUUAUUAUUAUUAUUAAUGAUAAAAAAUACCUUCAAAGUCCCAAUUAUUUCCUUGUUGUAGCUUUGGUGGACAGCUUCAAUAAUGAAAUUGUGGCUUUACUUGGUCUCAUGGCAAGAAAGCAAAAUACAUACAGUAUGUCAAGUAUUGAAAUACACACCAUUGUGUUGGGAUUCAAUAUUUCAACAGUAAUUGUGUUUUCAUCAGGAAUGGUCUCAUGACCACUU
Molecule: unclassified non-coding RNA, 992 nt
Filed under: Anneissia japonica
Lineage: Eukaryota; Metazoa; Echinodermata; Crinoidea; Comatulida; Comatulidae
Description: aLX homeobox protein 1-like, transcript variant X8
Source: RNAcentral